ACAUCCUAGCUUUCUUCCUUCUCUAAUUCUGGUUUCAUGCAACUUUUAUCGGGUUUGAAACAAAAACUGAAGGUUAUGUUGAUAUCUACAUACAUGGCCAAAAAAUCUAAAGAUUUCACAACUUUGGUUCAGUUUGUUCAUCGUCGUGUUAUAUACUCAUCAAACUCAUCUUCUUAUUUGUUCAAGGAUUUGAGGAUCUAACUUUCAACCCACAGACUGCAGAAGAAUAAUACUGUAGAUUGUUGACGUGGGAGGCUUAAAGGGGUGAAGGUUUAUUCAUCUGGAAAGUAGACGUUGACAGAGAUAGCAAAAUAAGGAGAUGACGUCGUUAAAGACCAUUGACUCCAACGAAAUGGCAAGGCGAGGUUCAAUGGAAUCAAUCAUGUAUACACUAAACUUUGAGUUUUAAUCAAAAAACCAAGACUCAAUGUUUUACAAAUGACCAUAUAUCCUCAAGUCUCUAAUCUCACGGCACCUCUAUUCCCAACAACACACCAAUUAUUCAGACUUUGUAUAAUAGAAGCUAGACCACAUACAAACAGUUUGGCUGACAUCUUCUCCAACACAAUUGUCCUACCUACUCUUCACUUCGUCUUUAUUUUUUUGUAUCAAAACAAUUUACACUUUCUAAAAAGUUAUUGGUAAUUCAUUUUGAACAUCUAAACAUU
Molecule: long non-coding RNA, 668 nt
Organism: Camelina sativa (false flax)
Lineage: Eukaryota; Viridiplantae; Streptophyta; Magnoliopsida; Brassicales; Brassicaceae
Source: RefSeq, a predicted model, not a curated record